CCUACGGGUGGCAGCAGUGGGGAAUAUUUCACAAUGGGGGAAACCCUGAUGCAGCAACGCCGCGUGAGUGAAGAAGUAUUUCGGUAUGUAAAGCUCUAUCAGCAGGGAAGAAAAUGACAGUACCUGACUAAGAAGCCUCGGCUAACUACGUGCCAGCAGCCGUGGUAAUACGUAGGGGGCAAGCGUUAUCCGGAUUUACUGGGUGUAAAGGGUGCGUAGACGGGUGCGCAAGUCAGAAGUUAAAGCCCGGGGCUAAACCGCGGGACUGCUUUUGAAACUGUUUAGCUCGAGUGCGGGUGAGGUAAGUGGAAUUCCUGGUGUAGCGGUGAAAUGCGUAGAUAUUAGGAGGAACACCGGUGGCGAAGGCAGCUUACUGGACUGUAACUGACGUUGAGGCUCGAAAGCGUGGGGAGCAAACAGGAUUAGAUACCCCAGUAGUC
Molecule: ribosomal RNA, 440 nt
Filed under: uncultured bacterium
Lineage: Bacteria
Description: partial 16S ribosomal RNA
Rfam family: Bacterial small subunit ribosomal RNA
Source: RNAcentral